This 298-nucleotide long non-coding RNA is filed under the name Manihot esculenta (cassava). RNAcentral describes it as "long non-coding RNA (MESC_LNC006567)". Lineage: Eukaryota; Viridiplantae; Streptophyta; Magnoliopsida; Malpighiales; Euphorbiaceae. The record is from RNAcentral.
CCCUAUACUAUGAUAAUGAUGAUACGGUAUGGAAGACCAGUGAGGUCCAUUCUACGCCCCUGGCACUAUGUAAGAGAAAGACCAGUGAGGCCCAUUCUACGCCCCUGGCACAGUUGGACCAUGUUAUGUUAUGUUAUGUAAGAGAAAGACCAGUGAGGCCCAUUCUACGCUCCUGGCACAGUUGGACCAUGUAGGGGACUAUUGGUGACAAAUUCAUCCUUGAUGUGAUUAGCUGUGUUGUGAUGCAUUCCAUGUUAUCAUAUGUUUUAAAUUGUUUUAUUAUUCUGCUCACUGGGCU